GUCCAGGGAUGGGAAUCGAACCCACAGUGUUCUGCUUACCGGGCAGAUGCCAUGUCCACUAGGCUACCCUGGA
Cordylochernes scorpioides is the source of this 73-nucleotide non-coding RNA. Lineage: Eukaryota; Metazoa; Arthropoda; Arachnida; Pseudoscorpiones; Chernetidae. The record is from the annotation of a GenBank genome assembly.